Molecule: ribosomal RNA, 896 nt
Filed under: uncultured Actinomycetes bacterium
Lineage: Bacteria; Bacillati; Actinomycetota; Actinomycetes
Description: SSU rRNA
Rfam family: Bacterial small subunit ribosomal RNA
Source: RNAcentral
AGAGUUUGAUCCUGGCUCAGGACGAACGCUGGCGGCGUGCUUAACACAUGCAAGUCGAACGGUGAACCUCCCUUCGGGGAGGGGAUCAGUGGCGAACGGGUGAGUAACACGUGACCAACCUGCCCCUGGCUCUGGGAUAACCCCGGGAAACCGGAGCUAAUACCGGAUAUGAGUUCGCGCGGCAUCACGCGGACUGGAAAGUUUUUCGGCCAGGGAUGGGGUCGCGGCCUAUCAGCUUGUUGGUGGGGUAACGGCCCACCAAGGCGACGACGGGUAGCCGGCCUGAGAGGGCGACCGGCCACACUGGGACUGAGACACGGCCCAGACUCCUACGGGAGGCAGCAGUGGGGAAUAUUGCGCAAUGGGCGAAAGCCUGACGCAGCGACGCCGCGUGAGGGACGACGGCCUUCGGGUUGUAAACCUCUUUCAGCAGGGAAGAAGCGAAAGUGACGGUACCUGCAGAAGAAGCACCGGCUAACUACGUGCCAGCAGCCGCGGUAAUACGUAGGGUGCAAGCGUUGUCCGGAAUUAUUGGGCGUAAAGAGCUCGUAGGCGGUCUGUCGCGUCGGAUGUGAAAACCCAGGGCUCAACCCUGGGCCUGCAUUCGAUACGGGCAGACUAGAGUUCGGCAGGGGAGACUGGAAUUCCUGGUGUAGCGGUGAAAUGCGCAGAUAUCAGGAGGAACACCGGUGGCGAAGGCGGGUCUCUGGGCCGAUACUGACGCUGAGGAGCGAAAGCGUGGGGAGCGAACAGGAUUAGAUACCCUGGUAGUCCACGCCGUAAACGUUGGGCGCUAGGUGUGGGGAACCUUCCACGUUCUCCGUGCCGCAGCUAACGCAUUAAGCGCCCCGCCUGGGGAGUACGGCCGCAAGGCUAAAACUCAAAGGAAUUGACGG